RNAcentral lists this ribosomal RNA (119 nucleotides) under Erpetoichthys calabaricus (reedfish). Lineage: Eukaryota; Metazoa; Chordata; Cladistia; Polypteriformes; Polypteridae. The record is from RNAcentral.
CCUUACGGCCACACCAGUGUGAAUGUGCCCGAUCUCGUAUGAUCUCGGAAACUAUGCACACUUGGGCUCGAUCAGUACUUGGAUGGGAGACCACCUAGGAACUCCUAGUGCUGACAGCU